RNAcentral lists this ribosomal RNA (586 nucleotides) under uncultured Trichococcus sp. RNAcentral's name for it is "partial 16S rRNA". It matches the Rfam family "Bacterial small subunit ribosomal RNA", at positions 1 to 563 of the family's 1533-position model. The record is from RNAcentral. Lineage: Bacteria; Bacillati; Bacillota; Bacilli; Lactobacillales; Carnobacteriaceae.
GAAUUCGGCUUAGAGUUUGAUCCUGGCUCAGGACGAACGCUGGCGGCGUGCCUAAUACAUGCAAGUCGAACGGUCUUUUCUAUGGAAGCUUGCUUCCACUGAGAAGAUAGUGGCGAACGGGUGAGUAACACGUGGGUAACCUGCCCAUAAGAGGGGGAUAACAUCCGGAAACGGGUGCUAAUACCGCAUAGUUUUCUUGAUCGCAUGAUCGAGAAAGGAAAGACGGCCUUUGUGCUGUCGCUUAUGGAUGGACCCGCGGCGUAUUAGUUAGUUGGUGAGGUAAUGGCUCACCAAGACGAUGAUACGUAGCCGACCUGAGAGGGUGAUCGGCCACAUUGGGACUGAGACACGGCCAAACUCCUACGGGAGGCAGCAGUAGGGAAUCUUCCGCAAUGGACGAAGUCYUGACGGAGCAACGCCGCGUGAGUGGAGAAGGUUUCSGAUYSUWAACUCUGUUGUCAGAGAGAACAARKYCGAGAGUWACUGCUYCGGCCUUGACGGUAUCUGACCAGAAAGCCMCGGCUAACUACSUKGCAGCRGCSCGGUAUWMCGUAGKKGCAGSGUUGUCCGGAUUUWUGGGGCGUAA